This 447-nucleotide ribosomal RNA is filed under the name uncultured bacterium. RNAcentral's name for it is "SSU rRNA". It matches the Rfam family "Bacterial small subunit ribosomal RNA", at positions 26 to 518 of the family's 1533-position model. The record is from RNAcentral.
AGAGCGAACGCUGGCGGCAGGCCUAACACAUGCAAGUCGAGCGCCCGUAGCAAUACGGGAGCGGCAGACGGGAUAGUAACACGUGGGAACGCGCCCUUCGGUUCGGAAUAACUCAGGGAAACUUGAGCUAAUACCGGAUACGCCCUUACGGGGAAAGAUUUAUUGCCGAAGGAACGGCCCGCGUCCGAUUAGCUAGUUGGUGAGGUAAUGGCUCACCAAGGCGACGAUCGGUAGCUGGUCUGAGAGGAUGACCAGCAUCACUGGGACUGAGACACGGCCCAGACUCCUACGGGAGGCAGCAGUGGGGAAUAUUGGACAAUGGGCGCAAGCCUGAUCCAGCCAUGCCGCGUGGAUGAUGAAGGCCUUAGGGUUGUAAAGUCCGUUUAACGGGGAAGAUAAUGACGGUACCGUAGAAUAAGCCCCGGCUAACUUCGUGCCAGCAGCCGC